This 253-nucleotide ribosomal RNA is filed under the name uncultured bacterium. RNAcentral's name for it is "partial 16S ribosomal RNA". It matches the Rfam family "Archaeal small subunit ribosomal RNA", at positions 474 to 727 of the family's 1478-position model. The record is from RNAcentral.
UACCAGCACCCCGAGUGGUCGGGGCGAUUAUUGGGCCUAAAGCAUCCGUAGCCGGUCCUACAAGUCUUCCGUUAAAUCCACCUGCUUAACAGAUGGGCUGCGGAAGAUACUAUAGGGCUAGGAGGCGGGAGAGGCAAGCGGUACUCAGUGGGUAGGGGUAAAAUCCUCUGAUCCACUGAAGACCACCAGUGGCGAAGGCGGCUUGCCAGAACGCGCUCGACGGUGAGGGAUGAAAGCUGGGGGAGCAAACCGG